AGCGCAGCUGAACACAGUGGGUGAAAUAGGAGCUGGAAACAGAGGAAGGGAAAAGGAGAGCGUGACUCUUCAUCACGUGGAUGAAGGGGCCCUUGCCAGGCUCUCUCCUCUGUGAGGGAUCAGCCUCUGAAGGAGCUGACCAGGAGCAUGCGGGUACCUGCAUGAUGCGGACGUAAUCGGUGCGGUGCAGCUCACUGUCCUUGACCACCUUCUUCUUGAGAGUGGCCAGGUUCCUCUCCAGGUGCUCCCGCUGGCGGGUGUACUCCAGCUGCAGAAAGAGACUGGAAUAUGAUCUCUGAGGUUCUCCCACCCUCAGCAUUGAUUAGGUAGCCAAGGCCUUGAACCACUGACUACAGAUGACCUCUCUGAGCAUGCUCCUUCCCAGCACAAACAAGCCAACGCCGUGAGCACUCCCACCCCUUGGUCACUUCACCCAGUCAUUUCAUAGUGUCAGAUGGAUUCAGCCGUCUCCAUGGGCCUGGGCCUGACAUCUGGCAGGCCUGUG
Long non-coding RNA from Molossus molossus (Pallas's mastiff bat), 505 nucleotides. RefSeq lists it as uncharacterized. NCBI's taxonomy places the organism in Eukaryota, Metazoa, Chordata, Mammalia, Chiroptera, Molossidae. The transcript has 3 exons. The record is from RefSeq and is a predicted model, not a curated record.